RNAcentral lists this ribosomal RNA (443 nucleotides) under uncultured bacterium. RNAcentral describes it as "partial 16S ribosomal RNA". It matches the Rfam family "Bacterial small subunit ribosomal RNA", at positions 338 to 795 of the family's 1533-position model. The record is from RNAcentral.
CCUACGGGGGGCAGCAGUGGGGGAUAUUGGACAAUGGGGGAAACCCUGAUCCAGCGACGCCGCGUGAGUGAAGAAGUAUUUCGGUAUGUAAAGCUCUGUCAGCAGGGAAGAAAGAAAUGACGGUACCUGACCAAGAAGCCCCGGGUAACUACGUGCCAGCAGCCGCGGUACUACGUAGGGGGCAAGCGUUAUCCGGAAUUACUGGGUGUAAAGGUAGCGUAGACGGUGAUGCAAGUCUGGAGUGAAAGGCGGGGGCCCAACCCCCGGACUGCUCUGGAAACUGUGUAACUUGAGUGCAGGAGAGGUAAGCGGAAUUCCUAGUGUAGCGGUGAAAUGCGUAGAUAUUAGGAGGAACACCAGUGGCGAAGGCGGCUUACUGGACUGUAACUGACGUUGAGGCUCGAAAGCGUGGGGAGCAAACAGGAUUAGAUACCCUGGUAGUC